CCCCCUGGGGGGAAACGGUCGUAUGUUUCCCCUCGCCUUUAUUAGCAUUUAAGACGUACGUUACCUGUAACGUAGGCAUUUAUUCGCCACUACUCCACCCCUGUGCACCGAACCGUUGUGGAGGGCAGCGCACUCUAUAUAAGCCACCCUCCCCCACUAGUGCAGGGGUUAGCAAAUCAUUGUAUUCCAUAUUCCACUCGACAACAAGCUCCCAGAGCA
RNAcentral lists this long non-coding RNA (219 nucleotides) under Hordeum vulgare. Its description in RNAcentral is "long non-coding RNA (HVUL_LNC011559)". Lineage: Eukaryota; Viridiplantae; Streptophyta; Magnoliopsida; Poales; Poaceae. The record is from RNAcentral.